RNAcentral lists this ribosomal RNA (253 nucleotides) under uncultured bacterium. RNAcentral's name for it is "partial 16S ribosomal RNA". It matches the Rfam family "Bacterial small subunit ribosomal RNA", at positions 524 to 776 of the family's 1533-position model. The record is from RNAcentral.
UACGUAGGUGGCAAGCGUUGUCCGGAUUUAUUGGGUUUAAAGGGUGCGUAGGCGGUCCUAUAAGUCAGUUGUGAAAUACGGCAGCUUAACUGUCGAGGUGCAAUUGAUACUGCAGGACCUGAGUACAGACGAGGUAGGCGGAAUUGACGGUGUAGCGGUGAAAUGCUUAGAUAUCGUCAAGAACACCGAUAGCGAAGGCAGCUUACUAGACUGUAACUGACGCUGAUGCACGAAAGUGUGGGGAUCAAACAGG